Molecule: small RNA, 177 nt
Filed under: Drosophila ananassae
Lineage: Eukaryota; Metazoa; Arthropoda; Insecta; Diptera; Drosophilidae
Description: GF26857
Source: RNAcentral
GUGGAUUAGGGGUAUUAACACUAUUUCAUUUGCAUUGUGAGGUAUGCCAUGCUAUAUUUGAAUCAACAAGGAGUGAUUUUUCCACCUACGACGACUUCAUUAGGGCCAUCCGGGAUGGAAUAAGGAGAGCCAAAAAUAAAAAUUAUAAGGAAAAAUCCAAAAAAAACAAAGAAAAUU